AGUGAACGCUGGCGGUAGGCCUAACACAUGCAAGUCGAACGGCAGCACAGGAGAGCUUGCUCUCUGGGUGGCGAGUGGCGGACGGGUGAGGAAUGCAUCGGAAUCUACUCUUUCGUGGGGGAUAACGUAGGGAAACUUACGCUAAUACCGCAUACGACCUACGGGUGAAAGCCGGGGACCUUCGGGCCUGGCGCGAAUGAAUGAGCCGAUGCCCGAUUAGCUAGUUGGCGGGGUAAGAGCCCACCAAGGCGACGAUCGGUAGCUGGUCUGAGAGGAUGAUCAGCCACACUGGAACUGAGACACGGUCCAGACUCCUACGGGAGGCAGCAGUGGGGAAUAUUGGACAAUGGGCGCAAGCCUGAUCCAGCCAUACCGCGUGGGUGAAGAAGGCCUUCGGGUUGUAAAGCCCUUUUGUUGGGAAAGAAAAGCAGCUGGUUAAUACCCGGUUGUUCUGACGGUACCCAAAGAAUAAGCACCGGCUAACUUCGU
RNAcentral lists this ribosomal RNA (489 nucleotides) under uncultured bacterium. RNAcentral describes it as "partial 16S ribosomal RNA". It matches the Rfam family "Bacterial small subunit ribosomal RNA", at positions 29 to 506 of the family's 1533-position model. The record is from RNAcentral.